GAUGAACGCUGGCGGCGUGCCUAAUACAUGCAAGUCGAACGCUGAAGGAGGAGCUUGCUCUUCUGGAUGAGUUCCGCACGGGUGAGUAACGCGUAGGUAACCUGCCUGGUAGCGGGGGAUAACUAUUGGAAACGAUAGAUAAUACCGCAUGACAACAGUUAUUGCAUGAUAACUGUUUAAAAGGGGCAACUGCUCUACUACCAGAUGGACCUGCGUUGUCUUAGCUAGUUGGUGAAGUAACGGCUCACCAAAGCGACGAUACAUAGCCGACCUGAGAGGGUGAUCGGGCCCACUGGGACUUGGACACGGCCCAGGCUCCUACGGGAGGCAGCAGGAGGGAAUCUUCGGCAAAGGACGGAAAUCUGAACGAGCAACGCCGCGGGAGGGAAGAAGGGUCUCGGAUCGGAAAGCUUCGUUGUAAGGGAAGAACGAGUGUGAGAGUGGAAAGUUCACACUGUGACGGUACCUUACCAGAAAGGGACGGCUAACUACGUG
RNAcentral lists this ribosomal RNA (495 nucleotides) under uncultured bacterium. RNAcentral's name for it is "partial 16S ribosomal RNA". It matches the Rfam family "Bacterial small subunit ribosomal RNA", at positions 28 to 507 of the family's 1533-position model. The record is from RNAcentral.